Molecule: long non-coding RNA, 248 nt
Organism: Sebastes umbrosus (honeycomb rockfish)
Lineage: Eukaryota; Metazoa; Chordata; Actinopteri; Perciformes; Sebastidae
Exons: 2
Source: RefSeq, a predicted model, not a curated record
AACCCAAACCGCAAUCUUUUCCUAAACCUAACUAAGUAGUUUGUUGCCUAAGCCUAACCAAGUCGAUCUAUUCCUAAACCUAACUAAGUAGUUUGGUUUUGAAAAGACUGGAGCUGAAAUUGAAACGUGCGUCACGUGCUGCUGGACAAUCGUAGGAAAAAGCACAAGAAAAAUAUGUUGUUGAAAGUCACGCUGAGCGUCACUAAAAGAAAAGGGAAAUUCGUGUUUAUUUACACAAAUCAAAUAGA